UAACAAUGACGCCGUCGACUUUUUCUCAUAUGCUUGACCAUUUGUCUUAUUAAAAAAAAUUAUGUAAUUAUAAUAUAUUUUGUUAUGAGUUGUUUUAUCACUCAUAGUACUUUAAGUGUGAUUUAUAUCUUAUGCAUUUGCAUAAAAUUUUUUAAUAAGACGAAUGGUCAAACAUGUGAGAAAAAGUCAACGGCGUCAUCUAUU
Oryza sativa Indica Group (long-grained rice) is the source of this 204-nucleotide microRNA precursor. It matches the Rfam family "MIR812 microRNA precursor family". Lineage: Eukaryota; Viridiplantae; Streptophyta; Magnoliopsida; Poales; Poaceae. The record is from Rfam.